GCCAGCAUGGCACAGUGGUUUCAGUGUUGGACUACGACUCUGGAGACCAGGGUUUGAUUCCCAGCUCGGCCA
Phrynosoma platyrhinos (Desert horned lizard) is the source of this 72-nucleotide non-coding RNA. NCBI's taxonomy places the organism in Eukaryota, Metazoa, Chordata, Lepidosauria, Squamata, Phrynosomatidae. The record is from the annotation of a GenBank genome assembly.